UAUGGCUCACCAAGGCGACGAUCCCUAGCUGGUCUGAGAGGAUGAUCAGCCACACUGGAACUGAGACACGGUCCAGACUCAUACGGGAGGCAGCAGUGGGGAAUAUUGCACAAUGGGCGCAAGCCUGAUGCAGCCAUGCCGCGUGUAUGAAGAAGGCCUUCGGGUUGUAAAGUACAUUCAGCAGUGAGGAAGGUGGGUAUGUUAAUAGCAUAUUCAUUUGACGUUAGCUGCAGAAGAAGCACCGGCUAACUCCGUGCCAGCAGCCGCGGUAAUACGGAGGGUGCGAGCGUUAAUCGGAAUUACUGGGCGUAAAGCGCAUGCAGGUGGUUUGUUAAGUCAGAUGUGAAAGCCCGGGGCUCAACCUCGGAAUUGCAUUUGAAACUGGCAAACUAGAGUACUGUAGAGGGGGGGUAGAAUUUCAGGGUGUAGCGGUGAAAUGCGUAGAGAUCUGAAGGAAUACCGGUGGCGAAGGCGGCCCCCCUGGACAGAUACUGACACUCAGAUGCGAAAGCGUGGGGAGCAAACAGGAUUAGAUACCCUGAUAGUCCACGCCGUAAACGAUGUCUACUUGGAG
RNAcentral lists this ribosomal RNA (574 nucleotides) under Vibrio mediterranei. RNAcentral's name for it is "bacterial SSU rRNA". It matches the Rfam family "Bacterial small subunit ribosomal RNA", at positions 259 to 822 of the family's 1533-position model. Lineage: Bacteria; Pseudomonadati; Pseudomonadota; Gammaproteobacteria; Vibrionales; Vibrionaceae. The record is from RNAcentral.